AGAAUCCCACUGGGGGGUUGAAUCAGAGGUGUUCUUUCUCAACUCAGCAGUAGCUGAGAGGCAGCUACUGCCUGGUUCAGGCUUCUGUGGGAAUCAAGUCUAGGACGCCCUGUAUUGGUUUUUGUUUGUCUUGUUUUCUGUGGUAUUAUUGUGAAUGUCAGGCUGUGGUCCUGAAUGUUGUCGAUGCUGAAGGGGAGAUGGGGGAGGCUGAAGUGGUGGCCCUGGCCCUGGGACCAGCUUUAGGGUUGGCUUUCAGGGGCUGCUGAGCUAUGUUCUGCUCCUGGGAGUGUGACCAGCAGGUUGAGGUGGCGCAGGAGACCCUGGUGGAGGUGCUGGGCCCUUAGGAGCCUCUUUUGAGCUUGGUGUAGGCAGCCAUGGUUGGAGUGGCUGGCCAUGAGCACUCUGGUAUCUGGGGCUGAAUUCGGCGUUCUGGUGAGAGACCUGGAUCCUCACUGACCCUACUAGGCAAGAAUUAGUCAGGUUGAUCUGGGAGUCUAUCUCUCACCUUCUCUGACCUUCCCUGUCUUCUUUCGUCACCAUGGCUGCUUUGCAUACUUACCUAAUGAUGCUUCAUGUUCCCCUGCAUCCCACCUGCCUGCCUCCAGUCUUUGGCAUGCCGGGUGGUCACAGGUCCUUUCUGGUCUUCCAUGCUUUCCCCUAUGCCCCCAAGACUCAACAGAAAUUCUGGUACCAUCCCAUGUCGCUUGCAGUAAGCCAGAGUGCCUCUUGUUAGUGAGAGAAAGUGAUUUCACUUUGAGACAUCAGUGGCCCAGCAUAGCCAGCUGUGAGUGCUGUGCUCACUCCCCUGCCCCAUGUAUGUUUUCGGGUGGCCCUGCCCCCAUUCCUUUCCCCCUUGUGCUGCUGGCCAUGAAUCUGUUCCAAGCUCUGGUGAGGAAGGAAUGCGCCCUCUCAGGGCUUCUCCUGCCCAAUCAGCCCACUGGUAGAGCCCUGCUCUCUGGGAACUCACCUCCUGCCCAUCACGGAAGGCUGCAAGCACUGCUGGUGCAGAGCCCCAGGCGGCAGUCUCCAAGUUCCUUAUGCCAAGGGCAGAGCAGUCCUCACUGGAGAUUACUGGCACAUGGACUUGACUCCAAGGUACACCGUGCCCCUUAGAAAGGCAGCCCACGGGACAAUUGUCAGCAAUUGUUGCAAGUUCUCUUCAUCACACAGGAAGAAUGUCCUGGAAGCAGAUGGGAGGCCCUCUCAGCUGCUUUGGUGACAUAGACACUAGGUUCAUGGAAGCAGGCUGGCGUGAGGUUCCCUUCCAGGCAUCUGUUACAGGUUUCAGCUGCAAGUCUGUCUCCACAUGGGACCUGCUGCCACAGAUCCAUCUGAGACAGCGCCAUCUCCUGCGACCUACAGACAAAAAAGCUGCCUUCCUCCAAAAAUCUCAUCUGACUGAGGACUCCCAAGACAAGUGCUAAACCACAGAAGACAGACUUGGGACCUUCCAGCUAGAGAUGGACUCAUUUGCCAAAGCCAAAUGGCUGCUGAACUUUGGGGAAAGUUACAUGAUAGUGAGGAAAACAUAAUGUCUAUCUAGAUUAAUUAAUUGAUGUUCAAAAUGGAUGCUAUCGCCCUCAAUUUGUACUACCCAUGGAACAAAUAAUUGGUUGUACAAUCUCUUGCCUUCUCAACCCUCAACUCUCAACUCUUAACCCUUAACCCUUUUUACUACUCUGGCUUUGUUCUUACUUCUCCAGGCUAUACAUUUUUUUCUGAUACUUCCAUCCACUCUAAAUUUUCACCACUGACACAGUCACAUCAGUGACACCCACCCCUUUUUUUCUUAUAAAAACAGAGGGGGAGUUGUGGGGAAUUGGGGUAUGCACAGACAGGCUGGUCUCCAGUCGAGCUGAGGUCAGAACCCCGAAGGGUAAUAAUUCACCUACAUGACACGGUAGGCGUUCCCUCAUGCUCCUGGAACUCUGGCUCCUGCCUAAGUUGGUGUGGCCCACAGCCCCCACAAGAGAAGCAUGGCUAGAAGUCACAUAGGCAACGUUCCAAGCUUCUGACCUUCAGGCUAAACUCCUCUCCAGUUACCUAGCAACAGUAAAGACCAUAAAAGGGCUGUUCAGCACCACCUCACUCUCUUACUUCUCACUUUCUUACUUCUUACCCCUCACAAUCACCCCCUUUCUCCUCUCUCUUUUGCUACACCCACUCCAAAGAACUCUGCUUGACAAGCAAAAAGGCCUGAAGGCAGUCAUGAGGCAAACAGUUUCAAGGAAACUAUGCCUCCUAGAACCUUGGCAUUCCAAUAGCCUGUAUACACAAACCCUGUCCCCUUGUUAGUCUGGUGUAUGGAUACACAUGCUCUCUUUCAGUAUUGUUUUAUUAUAAGUGCCUUUAAGGAUUGAUUCUUGACAUAUAGCUAAGCCUCCACUAGUGUUCCAAUGGUUCCUAGAAAAUCCUUGAAGUCAAAGGUGAGCUUGAGGAGCAGUAAGAAUGUUACCUAUUCAGUAACAUUCGAAUUCACUUCUAGUAGAAACCCUGAAAAUAAUCAAGCAUUACAAAGAACAGAUCUAGAAAAGCUCAGGGCUAAUCUGCAUAGUGAUUACUUAGGACAAUAGCUGAGUUGCACCCAAACACAGGAAUACACAAUGUCCUAGCAAAUAGGUGGUUUGUCCAUGAAAGAUUUAGUGGAAGGGCAUUCCCCUGGUACAGGUUUCUUCACUAGGCCCAGUGGAAUAGCAUAAUCAGGAAUUUACUAAAGAACCCCUGAUGGUGGGUUUAACAAUAGACUAGCAUUGCAUCAGAGCAUUCACCUGGCACCAUUUUAAGUGGUAAAUGUGGCCUGGUUCCCUCCAUCUUUUGAUGUAUGCAUUCCUUUUGUUUUGUGUCACUGUAACUUGGCAGAUGUGUUCUCCUGGUUGUUUGUUUGUUUGUUUGUUUGUUUGUUUGUUUUUCUUCUGUAUAAAAAAGCCUGGUGUUCGUUUGGACAUUACAUUCAGACCCAACACAUUCUCUCCUGUCUGCCUCUGUCUGUACCCCAUUCUCACCGACUCUAUGCCCAUCUGUCCAAGACACUGAUUCCCAUGGAUUGAGGGGGGCUGACUGAGCCCGGUCCAUGACACUCUUUGUCUUCUCUCCUCUCUCCUCUCUCUUUGUCCUCUCCUCCCUCCCUCUUACUCUCUUUCUCUCUAACCUUCCCCCUCUCUCUUCUACCUUCUCUCUUUCUCCCUGCCUUUCUAUAAUAAAGCUCUAAAACC
Long non-coding RNA from Mus musculus (house mouse), 3212 nucleotides. RefSeq annotates it as predicted gene 6093. The record is from RefSeq and is marked validated. Lineage: Eukaryota; Metazoa; Chordata; Mammalia; Rodentia; Muridae. The transcript is spliced from 3 exons.